UACGUAGGGUGCGAGCGUUAAUCGGAAUCAUUUGGGCGUAAGGGGUGCGUAGACGGCUUACUAAGUCAACUGUUUAAUUCUCCGGCCUAACUGGAGGUCAGCGGUAGAAACUGGUAUGCUUGAGGUUGGAAGAGAGAAGUGGAAUUCUCGGAGUAGCGGUAAAAUGCGUAGAUCUCGAGAGGAACACCGAUGGCGAAGGCAGCUUCUUGGUCCAAAUCUGACGUUGAGGCACGAAAGCGUGGGGAGCAAACAGG
RNAcentral lists this ribosomal RNA (254 nucleotides) under uncultured bacterium. RNAcentral describes it as "partial 16S ribosomal RNA". It matches the Rfam family "Bacterial small subunit ribosomal RNA", at positions 524 to 776 of the family's 1533-position model. The record is from RNAcentral.